GAUGAAGAACGCAGCGAAAUGCGAUAAGUAGUGUGAAUUGCAGAAUUCAGUGAAUCAUCGAAUCUUUGAACGCACAUUGCGCCCCUUGGUAUCCCGAGGGGCAUGCUUGUUCGAGCGUCAUUUCACCACUCAAGCCUGGCUUGGUGUUGGGCGACGUCCUCUUUGGGGACGCGCCUCGAAACGCUCGGCGGCGUGGCACCGGCUUUAAGCGUAGCAGAAUCUUUCGCUUUGGAAGUCGGGGCCCCGUCUGCCGGAAGACCUGCUCGCAAGGUUGACCUCGGAUCAGGCAGGGAUACCCGCUGAACUUAAGCAUAUCAAUAAGCGGAGGA
Molecule: unclassified non-coding RNA, 329 nt
Filed under: soil metagenome
Description: partial contains 5.8S ribosomal RNA, internal transcribed spacer 2, and large subunit ribosomal RNA
Rfam family: 5.8S ribosomal RNA (bases 1-120)
Source: RNAcentral